This 497-nucleotide ribosomal RNA is filed under the name uncultured bacterium. RNAcentral's name for it is "partial 16S ribosomal RNA". It matches the Rfam family "Bacterial small subunit ribosomal RNA", at positions 28 to 507 of the family's 1533-position model. The record is from RNAcentral.
GAUGAACGCUGGCGGCGUGCCUAAUACAUGCAAGUCGAGCGAACGGACGAGAAGCUUGCUUCUCUGAUGUUAGCGGCGGACGGGUGAGUAACACGUGGAUAACCUACCUAUAGGACUGGGAUAACUUCGGGAAACCGGAGCUAAUACCGGAUAAUAUUUUGAACCGCAUGGUUCAAAAGUGAAAGACGGUCUUGCUGUCACUUAUAGAUGGAUCCGCGCCGCAUUAGCUAGUUGGUAAGGUAACGGCUUACCAAGGCAACGAUGCAUAGCCGACCUGAGAGGGUGAUCGGCCACACUGGAACUGAGACACGGUCCAGACUCCUACGGGAGGCAGCAGUAGGGAAUCUUCCGCAAUGGGCGAAAGCCUGACGGAGCAACGCCGCGUGAGUGAUGAAGGUCUUCGGAUCGUAAAACUCUGUUAUUAGGGAAGAACAUAUGUGUAAGUAACUGUGCACAUCUUGACGGUACCUAAUCAGAAAGCCACGGCUAACUACGUG